RNAcentral lists this ribosomal RNA (551 nucleotides) under uncultured bacterium. RNAcentral describes it as "bacterial SSU rRNA". It matches the Rfam family "Bacterial small subunit ribosomal RNA", at positions 355 to 896 of the family's 1533-position model. The record is from RNAcentral.
UAGGGAAUCUUCCACAAUGGACGCAAGUCUGAUGGAGCAACGCCGCGUGAGUGAAGAAGGGUUUCGGCUCGUAAAGCUCUGUUGGUAGUGAAGAAAGAUAGAGGUAGUAACUGGCCUUUAUUUGACGGUAAUUACUUAGAAAGUCACGGCUAACUACGUGCCAGCAGCCGCGGUAAUACGUAGGUGGCAAGCGUUGUCCGGAUUUAUUGGGCGUAAAGCGAGUGCAGGCGGUUCAAUAAGUCUGAUGUGAAAGCCUUCGGCUCAACCGGAGAAUUGCAUCAGAAACUGUUGAACUUGAGUGCAGAAGAGGAGAGUGGAACUCCAUGUGUAGUGGUGGAAUGCGUAGAUAUAUGGAAGAACACCAGUGGCGAAGGCGGCUCUCUGGUCUGCAACUGACGCUGAGGCUCGAAAGCAUGGGUAGCGAACAGGAUUAGAUACCCUGGUAGUCCAUGCCGUANNACGAUGAGUGCUAAGUGUUGGGAGGUUUCCGCCUCUCAGUGCUGCAGCUAACGCAUUAAGCACUCCGCCUGGGGAGUACGACCGCAAGGUUG